Molecule: long non-coding RNA, 547 nt
Filed under: Nicotiana benthamiana
Lineage: Eukaryota; Viridiplantae; Streptophyta; Magnoliopsida; Solanales; Solanaceae
Description: long non-coding RNA (NBEN_LNC012018)
Source: RNAcentral
AGGAUACCCGUUCACUUUGCUUUGUUUCACUCUCUUUUCUUCUUCUUUUGCUUGGGGCUGGAGGGGAGGGAGAGGAGAUUUUCUCUUUUAAAUAGUGCAGGAUAGAGGAAAUUACCUUGAAUAAAAUUGCUGCAGCUAAUCGCUCUCUCAGGCAGUAAAUUUGAGCAACAUCAAGAGCUGUCGACUUGAAAGGAAUCCACCUAUCAACAAUGACCUUGACUGUAUUUUCAGGAGAAGACAUAACUUUAUCUCCUUGAUCCGCUUCAAUAUUAUCUUCCUCACCAUCAUCCUCAUCAGCAUCUUCAUAAUCACUUCCAUCAUCAUCAUUAACUGUAUUUUCAGGAGAAGACAUAACUUCCUCUCCUUGAUCCGCUUUAAUAUUAUCUUCCUCCCCAUCGUCCUCAUCAGCAUCUUCAUAAUCACUUCCAUCAUCAUCAUUGUCGUCAUCAUCAUCUUCUUCAUUUCCAGGAGCCACUACAAUCUCUGUUGCCAGCAACAAAAGUGGGAGUGGCCCAAUGACACUACAGUUCCUUAUAUGAAGACCUCC